RNAcentral lists this ribosomal RNA (267 nucleotides) under Bacillus cereus. RNAcentral describes it as "partial 16S ribosomal RNA". It matches the Rfam family "Bacterial small subunit ribosomal RNA", at positions 1 to 255 of the family's 1533-position model. Lineage: Bacteria; Bacillati; Bacillota; Bacilli; Caryophanales; Bacillaceae. The record is from RNAcentral.
UUUAUUGGAGAGUUUGAUCCUGGCUCAGGAUGAACGCUGGCGGCGUGCCUAAUACAUGCAAGUCGAGCGAAUGGAUUAAGAGCUUGCUCUUAUGAAGUUAGCGGCGGACGGGUGAGUAACACGUGGGUAACCUGCCCAUAAGACUGGGAUAACUCCGGGAAACCGGGGCUAAUACCGGAUAACAUUUUGAACCGCAUGGUUCGAAAUUGAAAGGCGGCUUCGGCUGUCACUUAUGGAUGGACCCGCGUCGCAUUAGCUAGUUGGUGA